GAACACAAAAUGGCGACACGUGGUUAGCAUUCGUCGCCAACGAGAAAUUGGGGUCGGCCCGAAAGCUCUAGAAUGCACCCCUCUUCCUCCCCGGGGCCUUCCACCUCCGCGAGUUUUAUGACUUAAAAAAGCCCACAGGCUGGUCUGAAGGUCGGAGGCCUAAUUUUAACGCGUUUUCCUCCCUUUAAUUUGAAACGGGAACGCGAAUGACUGUAAAAUGUGGGCACAAUAUUUAAUCUCUCGCCUUUUUAAAGCUUAAUAGUGGAUAAUAGGGGGGCAGUAUCAAGGGAUAAUUUGGGUCCCCACAGUACCAAAGCAUUUAGAAACCUCUGUUUAAUUUAAGGAAUGAGAUAAGUUACUGCUUUUCUAGACUUCCUAGCAUGGGCUGUUGUGCUGGAGAGAACGAGAGCUACGAAGAGACUACAGUGCCUCUGACUUUUUCAUAGGACAGUUGGCCGAGGAAGACAAACAUAAAGAUGAAGUGCUUAAUUCAAGGUCACACAAUGUCGGGGAUGGACCUCCAGAUUUCCUUACUGGUGAGACGUGGUCUUGUAACACAGUGGUUAAGAAUGUGACUUUGGAGCCAGCCUGCUAGGGGCUGAAUUCUGACUCAGCCAUUUACUAACUGUGUGACCUUAGGUGGAGUCUCACUCUGUAGCCCAAGCUGGAGUGGCGUGAUCUCGACUCACUGCAACCUCCGCCUCCUGGGAUCAAGUGAUUCUCGUGCCUCAGCCUCCUGAGUAGCCGGGACUACA
RNAcentral lists this long non-coding RNA (755 nucleotides) under Homo sapiens (human). Its description in RNAcentral is "PCBP1 antisense RNA 1". Lineage: Eukaryota; Metazoa; Chordata; Mammalia; Primates; Hominidae. The record is from RNAcentral.